CAGAGCGUGGCUAAGAUAGAAAAGCAUUUCCCUUACACCGAAAAGACCUCCGUGCAAAUCGGAGCGCCCUGAC
RNAcentral lists this transfer RNA (73 nucleotides) under Plagiotremus rhinorhynchos (bluestriped fangblenny). Its description in RNAcentral is "tRNA-Val". It matches the Rfam family "tRNA". Rfam says of the family: Transfer RNA (tRNA) molecules are approximately 80 nucleotides in length. Their secondary structure includes four short double-helical elements and three loops (D, anti-codon, and T loops). The record is from RNAcentral. Lineage: Eukaryota; Metazoa; Chordata; Actinopteri; Blenniiformes; Blenniidae.